CCAAUAGCGUAUAUUAAAGUUGUUGCAGUUAAAAAGCUCGUAGUUGAAUUUCGGAAUCAGUACGCCGGUCGUGCCUCCGGUAUGUACUGGUGUCACUGGUUCCUCCCUUCUGAAGAACCAUCAUGCCAUUCACUUGGUGUGGUGGGGAAUCAGGACUGUUACUUUGAAAAAAUUAGAGUGUUUAAAGCAGGCUCACGCUUGAAUACAUUAGCAUGGAAUAAUGAAAUAGGACGUUGAUCUUAUUUUGUUGGUUUCUAGGAUUGACGUAAUGAUUAAUAGGGAUAGUUGGGGGCAUUAGUAUUCAAUUGUCAGAGGUGAAAUUCUUGGAUUUAUUGAAGACUAACUACUGCGAAAGCAUUUGCCAAGGAUGUUUUCAUUAAUCAAGAACGAAAGUUAGGGGAUCGAAGACGAUCAGAUACCGUCGUAGUCUUAACCAUAAACUAUGCCGACUAGGGAUCGGAUGAUGUUAAUUUUUUAAUGACUCAUUCGGCGCCUUACG
Molecule: ribosomal RNA, 499 nt
Filed under: uncultured Glomeromycotina
Lineage: Eukaryota; Fungi; Glomeromycota
Description: partial small subunit ribosomal RNA
Rfam family: Eukaryotic small subunit ribosomal RNA
Source: RNAcentral